Molecule: ribosomal RNA, 299 nt
Filed under: uncultured Bacteroides sp.
Lineage: Bacteria; Pseudomonadati; Bacteroidota; Bacteroidia; Bacteroidales; Bacteroidaceae
Description: partial 16S ribosomal RNA
Rfam family: Bacterial small subunit ribosomal RNA (bases 51-299)
Source: RNAcentral
CGAGGAGAGGAGAAGCAGGUGGUGUAAUGAGGGUAGGGCAAUCGUGAAUAGGAGACAGUGGGCGGAAUGAGCAAGUAGUGGGAUUAAUAAGGUUGAAUUGAAAUGAUAGAGAGUAACGAGAGAAGUGCUUUGAAGAAUGUGAAUCUAGAAUGUGGGAGAGGUGAAUGGAAUUUCUGGUGGAAGGGGAUAAUCCGUAGAGAUCAGAAGGAAUACCGAUUGCGAAGGCGAUCUAAUGGAACAUUAUUGACGCUGAGAGGCGAAAGCGUGGGGAGCAAACAGGAUUAGAUACCCUAGUAGUC